AGUCAGUGAUGAUGUUUAAGAGUAGUGGACAGAAGUGAUUUCUGAGUAAUUAUACACUGAGACU
Small nucleolar RNA from Labrus bergylta (ballan wrasse), 64 nucleotides. Ensembl annotates it as small nucleolar RNA SNORD75. The record is from Ensembl. NCBI's taxonomy places the organism in Eukaryota, Metazoa, Chordata, Actinopteri, Labriformes, Labridae.